This is a long non-coding RNA of Temnothorax curvispinosus, 1136 nucleotides long. RefSeq lists it as uncharacterized. Lineage: Eukaryota; Metazoa; Arthropoda; Insecta; Hymenoptera; Formicidae. The transcript is spliced from 5 exons. The record is from RefSeq and is a predicted model, not a curated record.
UUAAAGAAAAAUUGGCACGUACUAAAGAGCUUUAUUUCAAAUAACUUAAAUAAUUAACAAAAAUUAAUGACAUUAAUAACAAGUAUAUAGGGGGAUAAAAGUACUAAUUAAUAAUAAUUUUAAUAACGGCAUAAUCAGCAGAAAAGACAUAAAAAAGUAUUAUAAGCUUUAAAAUGUGUUACAUUUAAGCACGAGUUUAUUAGAGCAAUUGCACGUGGUCGACUCUGCGUACAAUACGCAUGCGUACAGAAGCAGUAGGAGGCAUAUAUGGGUCGACAACUUUGGAAUCAUUUGGUGUUUGGGCUUACUAAUCUAAGCAUGUGAAAAUUGUAAGUAAACUUGUAUUCAUAUAAACGUCCAUAUUGAGUGUUUAUACAUUAAUAAUUUAUUGAAGUAAAGAUUGCAGAGAUAACACAAAAGCAACGAACAGAUGAUGAUUGUCAUAAAAAUGAAAAUAAUUUGGAUUCUGUAGAACACAAGAAAAUCGUUGAUAAAAUUAAAAGAAGCUGAUUACAAAUCUUACAAAUAUUUAAAGAAAAUGAUAAGAAAUUCUUUAAUGCAUUAGACUAUACUGUUUGGAGCAUCAGACUAUGGCUGCAUUUGAGGAGCGUGCUAUUAGCGCUAUUGCAUCUAUCUUUAUUGCUGAUUAAUAGGUGCAAAACAAGGAUAGAAUAAGAAAAUAGCGCUAAUCGCUUCUCGAAUGCAGCUAAAUAAGAAGAUGAUAAUUUUUCUAAACGAUAAACAAUGGAUAAAAUAUUUCUAGUAAUUUAGAAGUUUCUAGUAACAACGGCAAUUUUCAGCUAGAAGAUAUUGGAAGGCAAUUCUGAAAAGAAGAUCACUAUUGCUGAAAACAUUGUAAAAAGAAAAACAAAUGAAUAAAAACCUCCCAUGCAGAACAGAAUUCAUUAGUAUCAUCCAAUACGAAGUAGAUAUGAAGUAGAAGAGAGUACAAAUGCUGGAUUUCUACGAUCUCAACAAAAAGCAUCAAAUAAUUACGAUGAGAACUAUACUACUCACUUGUAUAUUGAAGAUAUCGAAAUAAUAGCUACAGUAAAAAAUGACUUCAAGAAUAGUAUUAUUCAAACUGUUUACUAACUUAUAUUAAAACAUGCAAUUAAUAAAAAUCACAGAAUAUA